This is a non-coding RNA of Streptomyces caelestis, 75 nucleotides long. It matches the Rfam family "ASpks TB sRNA". The record is from Rfam. Lineage: Bacteria; Bacillati; Actinomycetota; Actinomycetes; Kitasatosporales; Streptomycetaceae.
CUUGACCGAGCCCAGCCACAGCGGACGCCCCUCGGGACGCUCCCGUCCGUAGGUGUCGAGCAGCGCCUGCGCCUC